AACGAACGCUGGCGGCAGGCUUAACACAUGCAAGUCGAGCGCACCGCAAGGUGAGCGGUAGACGGGUGAGUAACGCGUGGGAAUCUACCCAACCCUACGGAAUAACCUAGGGAUACUUGGACUAAUACCGUAUACGCCCUAUUCGGGUAAGGUUUAUCGGGGAUGGGUGAGCCCGCGUUGGCUUAGCUAGUUGGGGGGGUAAAGGCCUACCAAGGCGACUAUCCAUAGCUGGGCUGAGAGGAUGAUCAGCCACAUUGGGACUGAGCCACGGCCCAAACUCCUACGGGAGGCGGGAGUGGGGGAUAUUGGACAAUGGGCGCGAGCCUGAACCAGCCAUGCCGCGUGAGUGAUGAAGGCCUUAGGGUUGUAAAGCUCUUUCAGUAGGGAAGAUACUGACGGUACCUACAGAAGAAGCCCCGGCUAACUUCGUG
RNAcentral lists this ribosomal RNA (431 nucleotides) under uncultured bacterium. RNAcentral's name for it is "partial 16S ribosomal RNA". It matches the Rfam family "Bacterial small subunit ribosomal RNA", at positions 29 to 507 of the family's 1533-position model. The record is from RNAcentral.